UUUUUUGUAAGUAAAAUUUCUCCGUAAUGGUCGUUGCGGAGCUUCCCGAAGUUGACACGAAGGAAUGAAGUUAGCGACUUGGUCCGUAUGAAAGAAACAGGCUAAAAUUAUGACUCCACUGGAGAAAUGCUAGAGGCGCUGAUUCUGUUAUAAUUAUAAUGUUCAUCAAUAUAAAAAUCCAAGAUCACAAAUUCAGGAUGGGAACCUUAAAAAUCUAUCAUUGAUUUCUAGUGGCUGAUGAGUGUGUUCU
Amblyraja radiata (thorny skate) is the source of this 250-nucleotide long non-coding RNA. RefSeq lists it as uncharacterized. The record is from RefSeq and is a predicted model, not a curated record. The transcript has 3 exons. Lineage: Eukaryota; Metazoa; Chordata; Chondrichthyes; Rajiformes; Rajidae.